Molecule: non-coding RNA, 2215 nt
Organism: Triticum urartu
Lineage: Eukaryota; Viridiplantae; Streptophyta; Magnoliopsida; Poales; Poaceae
Source: RefSeq, a predicted model, not a curated record
AAGUAUGUUGGCUUGAGAAGCAUCAGAACUAAAGGUUGAAUAUAAGCAAGUGUGAUUCCAACAACUACGAUAUUCUGUGAGCUUCUGCCACCUCACUAUCUUCAACUUGUUGGAGUACUGGCCAACCUCAUGGAACCACAGCAUGGUUCUUCCAUCCCACCCUUAUCUUAUCAAGGAAACACACCUCAGUAUUCUUCAUAUGGUGGUGGAUACCAGAGUCGUAGUACAACAAAAAAGAUUGAUAUCCCAAAUGGAAGAAAUCAUUAUCUUUCGGAAGAUUCAAGGACGUUCGAGGAGUGACCAGUACCAUUGAAGACUUUGGUGAGCGAGGCAAGCAACCUACUUUGAUCAUGUUGAACCCAUAUUUGCAUUACACUUAGAAUUAUUUUUCAUGCAUAAAGUAUUUUUUACUAGUAUUGCUAUUAAGCAGAUUAGCUAGGGUUUUAGCUAUGCCCUAUGUGCUUGAUUUUGACACCCCUUUGACAUUCUUAUGCUAAGUAAAUUAGCUAGGGUUUAGCUAUGCUCUAUGUGCUUGAUAUUGACACCCCCCUUUGAUAAUACCCUGUGCAAGUUUGACAGUAAUGCUUAGCCAUGCUAGUCGCAUAAGUCAUAGAACUUGGGAAGAAUCUUUGUUACUCAUAAAUGUUUUACAAAAACCUAAGGGUGUCACUGAUGCCCAUGGUAUGAUUCUGAAAAUAAGGUUGUAUAAAAUGGAGUUGAAGUGGAGAUUUAGUUAGGUGAUUGUGAUCUUUGACGAGAUAGUCAAAGAUGUUCGGUGGAUUAUAAAAAUUUAUGUAUAGUAAAUGAGCAUGGUGGUUAUUCUAUUGGCGGAUAAAUGGAUCUUCAAUAAACUUGAAGCAGUUUGGAUUUAGUUAGGCGAUUAUAAUCUUGAACCAAAUUUCAUGGUGGAUUGUAAGCUUUCGAUGCAUUUAUUUAGUUCAUUGUGAUCUUGAGGAGAUAGUCAAAGAUGUUCGGUGCAUUAAUUAAUCUUGGACAAUUUGGAUUUAGUUAGGUGAUUGUGAUAUUGAACCGUAUUUCAUGAUGAAUUAUGAGAUUUUAGGUGGAUUUAGUCACAUGAUUUAAUCUUGAGAAGAUAGUCUAAUGUUUGGUUGAUUAUGAGAUUUUAGGUAUGGUAGAUGAGCAUGGUGAUUAUUAUACUGGUGGAUAAAUAGAUCUUUAAUUUUGUUUGGACCAUUUAGGAUUUAGUUAGGUGGUUUAGAUCUUAAACCAAAUUUCAUGGUGGAUUAUGAGGUUUUGGUCGGAUUUAGUUAGGUGAUUGUGAUCUUGACGAGCUAGUAAAAGAUGUUUGGUGUAUUAUGUGAAUUUAGGUCUAGUAGGUGAGCAUGGUGGUUAUUAUAUCGAUGAAUAAGUAAAUUUUUAACAAACUUAAGAAAAAAUGGAUUUAGUUAGGCGAUUGUGGUCUUGAACUAAAUUUCAUGGUGAAUUACGAUAUUUUAGAUGGAUUUAGUCAGUUGAUUGUGAUCCGGAGGAGAUACUCAAAGAUGUUCAAUGGAUUAAUUAUCCUUCAAUAAUUUGAAUUUCGUUAGGCUAUUGUGAUAUUGAACUGAAUUUCAUGAUGAUUUGUGUGAUUUUAGGUGGAUUUAAUUAUGUUAUUAUGAUCUUGAGAAGAUGACAAAGGUAUUUGGUGGAUUUUAAGAUUUUAGGUCUAGUAUAUGUGAGCAUGAGGACUAUUAUAUUGGUGGAUAAAUAGACCUCUAAUUUAGUUUGAAACAAUUUAAAUUUAAUUAGAUGAUUGUGAUCUUUUAACCAAAUUCAUGGUGGAUUUUGAUGUUUGGGUUGGUUUUAGUUAGGUGAUUGUGAUCUUAACGAGAUAGUCAAAGAUGCUUGAUGGAUUAUGUUAGAAUUUAUGUCUAGUAAGUGAGCACGGUGGUUAUUAUAUUGGUGGAUAAAUGGAUUUUUAGUAAACUUAGAGUAAUUUGGAAUUAGUUAGGCGAUUGUGAUCUUGAACCAAAUUUCAUGGUGAAUUAUGAGAUUUUGAAUGAAUUUAAUUAGUUGAUUGAGAUCUUGAGUGUCACAGCCUUAGAAUUGGUUGUAACUAGUUGCACAAGCACUCAUGCAUCAUGUAUAUAUUUAUGAAAGUUGAAUUGGGGAAAGUGGAAAGCCUCAGAAGUCUUUUAUAAAAAUGAUCAACACUAAAAAUUGUUUCAAAUAAACCCAAGAAAAUGUUCCUGUCAAGCUAUAAAAAUAUUGUCAA